UACGUAGGAGACGAGCGUUGUCCGGAGUUACUGGGCGUAAAGGGUGCGCAGGUGGCGGCGCGCGUGGGGGGUGAAAUCGCCCGGCUUAACUGGGCGGGGGCCUUCCAGACGGCGUGGCUUGAGCAGCGGAGGGGGACGUGGAAUUCCGGGUGGAGCGGUGAAAUGCGUUGAUAUCCGGAGGAAUACCAAAGGCGAAGGCAGUGUCCUGGGGAGUGUCUGACGCUCAGGCGCGAAAGCUAGGGGAGCGAACAGG
Molecule: ribosomal RNA, 253 nt
Filed under: uncultured bacterium
Lineage: Bacteria
Description: partial 16S ribosomal RNA
Rfam family: Bacterial small subunit ribosomal RNA
Source: RNAcentral